Molecule: long non-coding RNA, 2127 nt
Organism: Sander lucioperca (pikeperch)
Lineage: Eukaryota; Metazoa; Chordata; Actinopteri; Perciformes; Percidae
Exons: 2
Source: RefSeq, a predicted model, not a curated record
AGUUAUCGUUCAUACGAUGACGAAAUAUUUACUUUGCUCCAUCAGUGAAACGCUGCACCGCAUCAGUAUUACUGCUGAUCGUCUUCGUACUAAACGUGCUGACUCACUACAGUAUGAAAGGUUUGUCCUAAAUAUACAAAACCAAAUAAGAUGCCAGCCCAGUCACUUUUCUGUACGUAGUCACUGUCGAAAAACACUUUAGUGUGAGUUAACGUUUUGGCAGCCAUGUUGGAGGUUUACAGUUCUUUUUACAAAAGCCUGUUGCAUCUCUUAAAACAAAAAUUCAGGUAUAUUGCAACUUGGGAUUUUAAAUUCCGUAAUGUUAUCCUUCAUUUCUGUCAGCUACUAUAACAUUGCACUCGCCAAAAUAAUAGCUCACGGCGCUACAACAAAGUCUGACAGGACAAGAAACAGUUGUUUUUUUUUGGGGGGGGCAUUUCUGCCUUUUUUCGAUAGGAAAGCGGAGACAUGAAAGGGGGAGAGAGAGGGGGGAAGACAUGCAGGAAAACCGUCACAGGUCAGAUUCGAACCCUGGACCUUCUGCGUCGAGGAAUAAACCUCUGCACACGUGCGCCCACUCUACCAACUGAGCUAACCAGCCACAAGAAACGAAAAAGAGGUUUUUCUGUAAGGUGUCCUUAAGUGCUAUGAAAGGCGCCCAUAAAUAAAAUGUAUUAUUAUUAUUAUUAUUAUUAAACAUGAACAGUCAGUAGAUCGGACAAACCCGUCCGUCCAGAUGAUCUAAACCACUUUAUUUGGAGGUAAAACAAAGUGAGCACACACCCAAUCUGUUGGUAAUAUCCCAGAAAAAGAAGCUUUACCCAGGCUUUUUUCUAAUUAUUUAGAUAUGCAUUUACAUAACCAGCCUUUUUAAAUGUUUAUGCAUGUACUACAUGUUCGCCCUGUGACAGUAUUAAACAAGUGAAUCUCUCGUUAGUGUGUUCCACAUCAAUUGAUGAGCUCUGGAUUGUUUUUAAUGUGAGUGUUGCACCCAAAGGUGGCUUCUGUGAUUUCUCUAUGGUGCAUUAUUAAGAUUUUAUGAUUGUCAUCGCAUUCUUUGGGAAAAUGUUUAAAAAUACCCCACACGGUAACAUCUUGUUUCAUGCACCAGCUUUAUCUCCUCCAUACCAAAAAGGGAUUCUCAUUUCAGUGCCCACAGGAAAUAAUUAUGAUGCAGUAACAGAAGGUAGGAGAGCGAUUCUUUUCUAGUUGGCGUUUGCCAUUUCACCACAUUAAUGAAUGAACAGAAUUUUUUGGAUCCCACGGACGCUGGAGCCAUUUCAGAAUCAUUUCCAAGUUAAAUAUUUUCAAAACAUGAUACCAUGGCAACAUUUAAACUUUAUCAAUGUAAAGAUAUAUUUUCCCCCUCCAAACCAUUUCUUUGAAAAAAUGCCCUCUGACGAGAUGGACAUCAUGCACUAGUGUUUGUAAAAGUACAGGAAGUAAAUCAGGACUUUAAUAUAGAAAAUGCAAAACAAAGGCACACAGAUCUGUAAAUGUGUGACUUCAUAUUGGGAUGUAUACCAAAAUCUCAAUUUCUGCAUUUUUAAAGCUAAAGUUCUGAUUUUAUUUCCAUUAAAAGGAUGGAAGUGAAACAGAUAUUUGCUGCGGGUUGUUAACGUGUUGAAGAGAUGCUGUCGGGGGAAAUAAUGCCAAAUAGAUUCUGGAUAGAACUGGAUGUAAGCUGGAUAAGAACUCGUCAGUCAGCACACAUUUCUUAUCAUUUUCAUGUGUAUGUUAAUCAAAAGUGAAGACUGACGCAAUGGUUAAAGGAGGACCUUCAAGUCUAAACUCAAGAAGGUCUCAUGAAUGUCAACCAUGUGUGUAAUUUGUGGAAACCACAACUGGAAAAGGCAGCACGUUUCACUUUGCCCCUAAAAAGUGAACCAGGAGGGGACACAUCAGCUGGAAGAAAAGCUGCCAUUCAUCUGUGGGUUUUUGUUGUUAAAAAGUUGUACAAAGUGAAUGAUUUUGCAGAAUCUGGGGCCAUGUACAUUUUACCUCGCCCUUUGUAGAAAUCACAUUUUAUAACAUGUGCAAAAGGUCCCUUUUAGAUGUGGUGAAGGUUCUGUACAGCGACCAGAUCUCCAGGACUGUUUAACUGUAAAUAAAAUCACUUACACUCAU